This 253-nucleotide ribosomal RNA is filed under the name uncultured bacterium. Its description in RNAcentral is "partial 16S ribosomal RNA". It matches the Rfam family "Bacterial small subunit ribosomal RNA", at positions 524 to 776 of the family's 1533-position model. The record is from RNAcentral.
UACGUAGGCAGCGAGCGUUGUUCGGAGUUACUGGGCGUAAAGGGAGCGCAGGCGGAUUUGUAAGUCAGUGGUGAAAGGCUUAAGCUUAACUUGGGAACUGCCAUUGAUACUAUAAGUCUUGAAUGUUGUUGAGGUUUGCGGAAUGGGUCAUGUAGCGGUGAAAUGCAUAGAUAUGACCCGGAACACCUAUUGCGAAGGCAGCAGGCUAAACAAAUAUUGACGCUGAGGCUCGAAAGCGUGGGGAUCAAACAGG